AGAGUUUGAUCAUGGCUCAGGAUGAACGCUGGCGGCAUGCCUAAGACAUGCAAGUCGAACGAAGUGGCCCAAUGAAGUUUGCGUGCUUACACAAAAAUGGAUUUGGAUUCCCACUUAGUGGCGCAAGGGUGAGUAACACGUGGGUUAUCUACCCUCGAGACUGGAAUAACAGUUAGAAAUGAUUGCUAAUGCCGG
Molecule: ribosomal RNA, 195 nt
Filed under: uncultured bacterium
Lineage: Bacteria
Description: partial 16S ribosomal RNA
Rfam family: Bacterial small subunit ribosomal RNA
Source: RNAcentral